CGUAAGGCGCCGAAUGAGUCAUUAAAAAAUUAACAUCAUCCGAUCCCUAGUCGGCAUAGUUUAUGGUUAAGACUACGACGGUAUCUGAUCGUCUUCGAUCCCCUAACUUUCGUUCUUGAUUAAUGAAAACAUCCUUGGCAAAUGCUUUUCGCAGUAGUUAGUCUUCAAUAAAUCCAAGAAUUUCACCUCUGACAAUUGAAUACUAAUGCCCCCAACUAUCCCUAUUAAUCAUUACGUCAAUCCUAGAAACCAACAAAAUAGGAUCGAACGUCCUAUUUCAUUAUUCCAUGCUAAUGUAUUCAAG
This 304-nucleotide ribosomal RNA is filed under the name uncultured Glomus. RNAcentral describes it as "partial 18S ribosomal RNA". Lineage: Eukaryota; Fungi; Glomeromycota; Glomeromycetes; Glomerales; Glomeraceae. The record is from RNAcentral.